GAUAAACGCUGGCGGCGUGCUUUAUGCAUGCAAGUCGAACGGUCUUGUGACUUAAGCUUGCUUGAGACACAAGAUAGUGGCAAACGGGUGAGUAACGCGUAAGUAACCUGCCCCUAAGUAAGGAAUAACUCUGAGAAGUUAGAGCUAAUGCCAUAUGUGCUGGUGAAGGUAAGGCUUCACCACUAAAGCCUUCAGGCGCUUGGGGAGGGGCUUGCGUCCGAUUAGCUAGUUGGUAGGUAACGGUUUACCAAGGCAAUGAUCGGUAGCUGGUUUGAGAGGGCAUCCAGCCACACUGGGACUGAGACACGGCCCAGACUCCUACGGGAGGCAGCAGCAAGGAAUUUUGUGCAAUGGGCGAAAGCCUGACACAGCGACGCCGCGUGGGGGAUGAAGACCUUCGGGUUGUAAACCCCUUUUCUCAGGGAAGAAUUAUGACGGUACCUGAAGGAUAAGUCUUGGCUAACUACGUG
RNAcentral lists this ribosomal RNA (470 nucleotides) under uncultured bacterium. Its description in RNAcentral is "bacterial SSU rRNA". It matches the Rfam family "Bacterial small subunit ribosomal RNA", at positions 28 to 507 of the family's 1533-position model. The record is from RNAcentral.